RNAcentral lists this ribosomal RNA (253 nucleotides) under uncultured bacterium. Its description in RNAcentral is "partial 16S ribosomal RNA". It matches the Rfam family "Bacterial small subunit ribosomal RNA", at positions 524 to 776 of the family's 1533-position model. The record is from RNAcentral.
UACGAAGGGGGCUAGCGUUGCUCGGAUUUACUGGGCGUAAAGCGCACGUAGGCGGGUCGUUAAGUCGGGGGUGAAAUCCCGGAGCUCAACUCCGGAACUGCCUUCGACACUGGCGAUCUGGAGUCCGGGAGAGGUGAGUGGAAUUCCGAGUGUAGAGGUGAAAUUCGUAGAUAUUCGGAAGAACACCAGUGGCGAAGGCGGCUCCCUGGCCCGGUACUGACGCUGAGGUGCGAAAGCGUGGGGAGCAAACAGG